This 446-nucleotide long non-coding RNA is filed under the name Linum usitatissimum (flax). Its description in RNAcentral is "long non-coding RNA (LUSI_LNC007815)". The record is from RNAcentral. Lineage: Eukaryota; Viridiplantae; Streptophyta; Magnoliopsida; Malpighiales; Linaceae.
AAAAAAGUAACAAAAGUUUAAAUUUUUUCAUCGGACCACCAAUUGAAUCCACUCUCCAUUCUUCUCAAUUGAUUUCAUGAUCGGCCGCCGCUAGAGCUCAUAAUACACACUCCAUUUUCCUUUCCACUUCCGCGACAUCCAUCCAUCCGCCGGCUCUCCUCUCCGCCGGCUCUCCUCUUCCGCGGGUCUCCUCCUCUUCUUCCCUUGACUUCUUCAAUCUUCCUGUUUGGUAAUUGGUAAGUAAUCUAUUGAGUUAUUGGUAACUGGAUGCUUAAGUGCUUAUUGGAUUAUUGUUAAGUUACUGAUUUGCUUACUGGCUGUUUGGUAAGUUAUUGAUUCGUUGUUCACUGAUAGUUUAGGGUUGUUCACCCUAAACCCUAAACCCUAAACCCUAAACCCUAAACCCUAAACCCUAAACCCUAAACCCUAAACCCUAAACCCUAAAC